UUGAACGCUGGCGGCAGGCCUAACACAUGCAAGUCGAACGGUAACAGGAAGAAGCUUGCUUCUUUGCUGACGAGUGGCGGACGGGUGAGUAAUGUCUGGGAAACUGCCUGAUGGAGGGGGAUAACUACUGGAAACGGUAGCUAAUACCGCAUAACGUCACAAGACCAAAGAGGGGGACCUUCGGGCCUCUUGCCAUCGGAUGUGCCCAGAUGGGAUUAGCUAGUAGGUGGGGUAACGGCUCACCUAGGCGACGAUCCCUAGCUGGUCUGAGAGGAUGACCAGCCACACUGGAACUGAGACACGGUCCAGACUCCUACGGGAGGCAGCAGUGGGGAAUAUUGCACAAUGGGCGCAAGCCUGAUGCAGCCAUGCCGCGUGUAUGAAGAAGGCCUUCGGGUUGUAAAGUACUUUCAGCGGGGAGGAAGGGAGUAAAGUUAAUACCUUUGCUCAUUGACGUUACCCGCAGAAGAAGCACCGGCUAACUCCGUG
This 489-nucleotide ribosomal RNA is filed under the name uncultured bacterium. RNAcentral's name for it is "partial 16S ribosomal RNA". It matches the Rfam family "Bacterial small subunit ribosomal RNA", at positions 30 to 507 of the family's 1533-position model. The record is from RNAcentral.